GACGAACGCUGGCGGCGUGCUUAACACAUGCAAGUCGAACGGAAAGGCCCUGCUUUUGUGGGGUGCUCGAGUGGCGAACGGGUGAGUAACACGUGAGUAACCUGCCCUUGACUUUGGGAUAACUUCAGGAAACUGGGGCUAAUACCGGAUAGGAGCUCCUGCUGCAUGGUGGGGGUUGGAAAGUUUCGGCGGUUGGGGAUGGACUCGCGGCUUAUCAGCUUGUUGGUGGGGUAGUGGCUUACCAAGGCUUUGACGGGUAGCCGGCCUGAGAGGGUGACCGGCCGCUUUGGGCCUACGUGAGGCCGCAGUCCCCGACGGGCGGCAGCGGGGGAAAGUUUGACGCAGGGGCGGCACGCGAGAUGCGGAAGCCCCGGGGGCGGAAAGCCGGCUUUGGGUUUAAAACCCGUUUUCGCCUGAACCGAGGGGUGAGUGACGGUACUGUAUAAGAAAGCCCCGGCUAACUACGUG
This 468-nucleotide ribosomal RNA is filed under the name uncultured bacterium. RNAcentral describes it as "partial 16S ribosomal RNA". It matches the Rfam family "Bacterial small subunit ribosomal RNA", at positions 28 to 507 of the family's 1533-position model. The record is from RNAcentral.